AUUCAGGGAUGCGUAAUGAACCCACAGUGUUCCACUUACCGGGCAGAUGCCAUGUCCACUAAGCUACCCUGGA
RNAcentral lists this transfer RNA (73 nucleotides) under Cordylochernes scorpioides. RNAcentral's name for it is "tRNA-Thr". The record is from RNAcentral. Lineage: Eukaryota; Metazoa; Arthropoda; Arachnida; Pseudoscorpiones; Chernetidae.